GCCCUCAGUACGGCGAGUGAGCGGCAAAAGCUCAAUUUGAAAUCUAGUACCUCUCGGUGCUCGAGUUGUAAUUUGAAGGUAGUUUUCUGGUGCUGGCCCUUGUCUAUGUUCCUUGGAACAGGACGUCAUAGAGGGUGAGAAUCCCGUCUGAUGGGGUGUCCAGUGCUUUGUAGAUUUCUACCGAAGAGUCGAGUUGUUUGGGAAUGCAGCUCUAAGUGGGUGGUAAAUUCCAUCUAAAGCUAAAUACUGGCGAGAGACCGAUAGCGAACAAGUACAGUGAUGGAAAGAUGAAAAGAACUUUGAAAAGAGAGUGAAAAAGUACGUGAAAUUGUUGAAAGGGAAGGGUAUUGGAUCAGACUUGGUGUCUUGUGAUUAUCUUCCCUUCUUGGGUUGUGCACUCGCAUUUCACUGGGCCAGCAUCGGUUCGGAUGGCAAGAUAAUGGCUUGGGAAUGUGGCACUCU
Molecule: ribosomal RNA, 462 nt
Filed under: Petasospora fabianii
Lineage: Eukaryota; Fungi; Ascomycota; Saccharomycetes; Phaffomycetales; Wickerhamomycetaceae
Description: eukaryotic LSU rRNA
Rfam family: Eukaryotic large subunit ribosomal RNA
Source: RNAcentral